CCUACGGGAGGCAGCAGUGAGGAAUAUUGGUCAAUGGGCGAGAGCCUGAACCAGCCAAGUAGCGUGAAGGAUGACUGCCCUACGGGUUGUAAACUUCUUUUAUAAAGGAGUAAAGUGAGGCACGUGUGACUUAUUGAAUGUACUCUAUGAAAAAGCAUCGGCUAACUCCGUGCCAGCAGCCGCGGUAAUACGGAGGAUGCGAGCGUUAUCCGGAUUUAUUGGGUUUAAAGGGUGCGUAGGUGGGUUGUGAAGUCAGCUGUGAAAGUUUGGGGCUCAACCGUGGAAUUGCAAUUGAUACUGGCUGUCUUGAGUACGGGAGAGGUAGGCGGAAUUCGUGGUGUAGCGGUGAAAUGCAUAGAUAUCACGCAGAACUCCGAUUGCGAAGGCAGCUUAC
RNAcentral lists this ribosomal RNA (394 nucleotides) under uncultured bacterium. Its description in RNAcentral is "partial 16S ribosomal RNA". It matches the Rfam family "Bacterial small subunit ribosomal RNA", at positions 338 to 729 of the family's 1533-position model. The record is from RNAcentral.